CCUGGUGGCUUAGUGGUAAAGAAUCUGCCUGCCGAUGCAGGAGACCCAGGUUCGAUCCCUGGGUCAGGA
This 69-nucleotide transfer RNA is filed under the name Bos indicus (zebu cattle). It matches the Rfam family "tRNA". Rfam says of the family: Transfer RNA (tRNA) molecules are approximately 80 nucleotides in length. Their secondary structure includes four short double-helical elements and three loops (D, anti-codon, and T loops). RNAcentral also lists the same sequence under 3 other names. The record is from Rfam by way of RNAcentral. Lineage: Eukaryota; Metazoa; Chordata; Mammalia; Artiodactyla; Bovidae.